GAUAAACAGUAUUUUAAAAUACUAUUAAUUGCCGGUUGUUGAGAUCUAGCUAGACAAUCAUUUGAAUCGAUGGAUAUGAUUGGACAAAAUUAAUUAGCAUUGUCGAUACAAUGUAACCUAUUGUGAUUGGGUACAUAUGAAUUGCUAUCGAAAACAGGGCGUAAAUGCAUUUACGAAUCGCCCGUUAAACUGUUAUUAUCCAAUAAUGUGGUUCCCGCGUUCCUUUAUUAUAGAUUGUCGACUGUUAAUGCAUUUAUGAUCGAUAAUGAUAGAUUGUCGACGAUAAUUUCGUAAAUGCAUUUACAACCGUAAAGUAUACUUUACGCCGUACAUCUAUAAUGGUCGACCGAUAAUCUAUCAUUAUCCACGAUAAAUUGUGAUUAUCUCAUUUAUGUGGUUCCCGCGUGCCAUAUAUAUGCAUUGCUACUAAAAACAACGAUACGAAACGAAACAAACGGAAACAAUAUAAAACAAAGGAUUAAUAUAAUGGAUACUAAUUGACGAUCUUCAACAAUAAAAAUGUCCAUCAAUGUGUCCGUCCCCAGUCUUAAAAAAAACUUGUGAAUCGAUUUAGCAUACAGUUUAAUAUCCUUUGUGAUGUACCAAAUUAAUGAAUACCGAAUUUUGCAAAGGAAACACAUAAUCAAAACCGUUAACAGACACAUGAACAUCCGAAGAAUUAAAUGAGUUAGUUUUUUUUGUAAGCAC
This 708-nucleotide long non-coding RNA is filed under the name Mytilus galloprovincialis (Mediterranean mussel). The record is from RNAcentral. Lineage: Eukaryota; Metazoa; Mollusca; Bivalvia; Mytilida; Mytilidae.